UAUGGUGACUAUUGCGGUGGUGUCCACCUCUUCCCAUUCCGAACAGAGAAGUUAAGCCCACCAGCGCCGAUGAUACUGCUAUACCAAGUGGAAAAGUAGGUCGUUGCCAAAU
This 112-nucleotide ribosomal RNA is filed under the name Bacteroidota bacterium. The record is from RNAcentral. Lineage: Bacteria; Pseudomonadati; Bacteroidota.